AUAUAUGCAUAUAUGUUGACUGGCAACUAACUUGUCUGAAGCGUCCAUCACCUUGAAUCACAUCAACCAGAUCAUUCAAGAGAUUAGUUUUUACUACGCGUCACUUAUUUUCUCCACACAAAUUGAUAUGGUUGUGCUUAAUUAGGUAGGUUACUAGACACGAUUCAGAUUCUUCUCGGCAUGUCGCUGUGUUCAACAAGCAAGGUGGACUUCUUUUAAUUUUAUUCUUCUAAAUAUAAAGAACAGCUUCAGUUAAUCAAGCACACAUAUCAAUCACCUGGAGACUCAUUCUUAUCCACUCCUCACUCAUAGACCAAACAACAUGCAUGUGAAAGCAAGGGAAACUAAAUUUUAUACAGAUGCAACCAAUAGCACAUCUCAAUGACACCAAAAGCAGCUGCAAUUCACUCCUCACGGAAGCACCAGAUAAUAUAAGCAUGGGAAUAGUACCUUGUGCAAAUUGAUGGUGCAGCUGUUACGUUGGCUAUUAACAUGAUGC
This 499-nucleotide long non-coding RNA is filed under the name Hordeum vulgare. RNAcentral describes it as "long non-coding RNA (HVUL_LNC021172)". The record is from RNAcentral. Lineage: Eukaryota; Viridiplantae; Streptophyta; Magnoliopsida; Poales; Poaceae.